CCUACGGGAGGCAGCAGUGGGGAAUAGUGCACAAUGGGGGAAACCCUGAUGCAGCGACGCCGCGGGAGUGAAGAAGAAGUUCGGUAGGUAAAGCGCUAGCAGCAGGGAAGAAAAUGACGGUACCUGAUUAAGAAGCCCCGGCUAACUACGUGCCAGCAGCCGCGGUAAUACGUAGGGGGCAAGCGUUAUCCGGAUUUACUGGGUGUAAAGGGAGCGUAGACGGCAGCACAAGUCUGGAGUGAAAUGCCGGGGCUUAACCCCGGAACUGCUUUGGAAACUGUGGUUCUUGAGUACUGGAGAGGCAGACGGAAUUCCUAGUGUAGCGGUGAAAUGCGUAGAUAUUAGGAGGAACACCAGUGGCGAAGGCGGUCUGCUGGACAGCAACUGACGCUGAGGCGCGAAAGCGUGGGGAGCAAACAGGAUUAGAUACCCGAGUAGUC
This 440-nucleotide ribosomal RNA is filed under the name uncultured bacterium. RNAcentral describes it as "partial 16S ribosomal RNA". It matches the Rfam family "Bacterial small subunit ribosomal RNA", at positions 338 to 795 of the family's 1533-position model. The record is from RNAcentral.